AUACGUAGGUGGCGAGCGUUGUCCGGAAUUACUGGGCGUAAAGGGUGCGUAGGCGGUUGAUUAAGUCAGAUGUGAAAUUCCGGGGCUCAACUUCGGAAUUGCAUUUGAAACUAGUUAGCUAGAGUGCAGGAGAGGAAAGCGGAAUUCCUAGUGUAGCGGUGAAAUGCGUAGAUAUUAGGAAGAACACCAGUGGCGAAGGCGGCUUUCUGGACUGUAACUGACGCUGAGGCACGAAAGCGUGGGGAGC
RNAcentral lists this ribosomal RNA (247 nucleotides) under uncultured bacterium. Its description in RNAcentral is "partial 16S ribosomal RNA". It matches the Rfam family "Bacterial small subunit ribosomal RNA", at positions 523 to 769 of the family's 1533-position model. The record is from RNAcentral.